This 1040-nucleotide long non-coding RNA is filed under the name Anas platyrhynchos platyrhynchos (common mallard). Its description in RNAcentral is "lncRNA (ENSAPLG00000029550.1)". Lineage: Eukaryota; Metazoa; Chordata; Aves; Anseriformes; Anatidae. The record is from RNAcentral.
GCAGCAGAACUCAGUAAACUGAAUUAACAAUAACAUACAACAAGACAGUAUGAUCAGUAGCUUGAUUUUAUUUUGUUUUCAGUUCAAGUGGCACAACAUCUCUCUGCAGCCAUAACGGCUCUCCUUUUUUUUUUUUUUUUUUUUUUUUCCAGGAACUCCUUAGUUAGGCAGUGUUUUGGAAAACAGUAUUGCUUCUCUUCUGCUGAAAGGAAAAAGGUUGCAACAUUGCAUGGCAGAUAAUGUAUGACCCAUGAUAACAAAUCAAUGAAAUAUUUCUAAGAAUUCUGCUUGUGCUGUUUUCUAUCUCUACCACUUAGUGAAAGUAAGAAACUUUCUGGAAGGUAGUGCCUUAGGGUCACAGAAGAAAGAAAGAAAUGUUCUUAAAAGACUUUACUAGGAAUUGCCCUGCAAUUGUGUCCUGCUGUAACCCUUUGGUCUCUGUCUGCUCCUGACCCUGGCUGCUCAGAGGAAGGCUUGCUGGACUGGCUGCACUGCAGAGCACAAACUGGCCUCUACUUCAGUCCCGUGACUCAGAAGAGAAAUGUGUCCUUGACAAGCUGUCUCCUAGCACAGAUACAUCUGGAACAUGCAGCAAUCUUUGGAAAGGUUGAAUAAAGCUAGAGAUGUUCAUUGCCAAGGUACUCAGCUCCUCUUGUGCACUGUGCCUUGGAGUGUGACUUGUGCAGCCUCCAGAGGGAACUCUGACUGCUGCACACUUGGGAAAGACCCUCUGCUCCUUGGGAACCUGCUACCUCUGCUUUCUGGAGAUGCCUGGUCAGUGGCUUAGUCAUGGCUUUUGGCUUCUCUUCUGCCAUCUAUCACGAGUUCCUGGGUGGUCCAGCUCAGUGAAUGCAUCUGUCUGUAAAAUAACCAUCCGGGUAGAAACAAAUUGUAAUGCUUGAGAAAAGUGUGCUUUUGCAUACAGAUUGUUUAAAAAUCAGUAUCUUUAGUAUUUCCUACUGCCUUCCUAUUUUUUUUUUCCUGCUGGAAGCGGAUGUUGCAUCAAUAAAAGCUAUGACAAAAGACUUGUACUAUACUCA